RNAcentral lists this ribosomal RNA (253 nucleotides) under uncultured bacterium. RNAcentral's name for it is "partial 16S ribosomal RNA". It matches the Rfam family "Bacterial small subunit ribosomal RNA", at positions 524 to 776 of the family's 1533-position model. The record is from RNAcentral.
UACGAAGGGGGCUAGCGUUGCUCGGAAUCACUGGGCGUAAAGCGCACGUAGGCGGCUUUCUAAGUCAGGGGUGAAAUCCCGGAGCUCAACUCCGGAACUGCCUUUGAUACUGGAGAGCUUGAGUCCGGGAGAGGUGAGUGGAACUGCGAGUGUAGAGGUGAAAUUCGUAGAUAUUCGCAAGAACACCAGUGGCGAAGGCAGGUCUCUGGGCCGAUACUGACGCUGAGGAGCGAAAGCGUGGGGAGCGAACAGG